GAUGAAGAACGUAGCGAAAUGCGAUAAGUAGUGUGAAUUGCAGAAUUCAGUGAAUCAUCGAAUCUUUGAACGCACAUUGCGCCCCUCGGUAUUCCGUGGGGCAUGCCUGUUCGAGCGUCAUUUAACCCCUCAAGCCUAGCUUGGUAUUGGGUGCUUGUCCCGCCUCUCGCGCGGCGACUCACCUCAAAGUCAUUGGCAGCCCGCAUCUCGCCGGCCGUGAGCGCAGCACAGACGCGCUCUUGGCAACGACGGAUCGGCUCUCCAAAAGCUUAUUUCAACCACAGACCUCGGAUCAGGUAGGGAUACCCGCUGAACUUAAGCAUAUCAAUAAGCGGAGGA
RNAcentral lists this unclassified non-coding RNA (339 nucleotides) under soil metagenome. RNAcentral describes it as "partial contains 5.8S ribosomal RNA, internal transcribed spacer 2, and large subunit ribosomal RNA". The stretch from base 1 to 120 matches the Rfam family "5.8S ribosomal RNA", at positions 35 to 154 of the family's 154-position model. The record is from RNAcentral.